GGAGUCUGGACCGUGUCUCAGUUCCAAUGUGGGGGACCUUCCUCUCAGAACCCCUAGCCAUCGUCGGUUUGGUGGGCCGUUACCCCGCCAACUGCCUAAUGGCACGCGAGCCAAUCCGGGAUCAAUGAAUCUUUCAACAUAUCAACAUGCGAUGACAUGUGUUAUGGGGUAUUACACAUCGUUUCCAAUGACUAUCCCCCUCUCCCGGGUAUGUUGCUCACGCGUUACUCACCCUUUCGCCGGUCGCCGACAGGUAUUGCUACCCUCGCUGCCCCUCGACUUGCAUGUGUUAAGCCUGCCGCUAGCGUUCAUC
RNAcentral lists this ribosomal RNA (313 nucleotides) under uncultured Bacteroidales bacterium. Its description in RNAcentral is "partial 16S ribosomal RNA". Lineage: Bacteria; Pseudomonadati; Bacteroidota; Bacteroidia; Bacteroidales. The record is from RNAcentral.